This 237-nucleotide ribosomal RNA is filed under the name uncultured bacterium. RNAcentral describes it as "partial 16S ribosomal RNA". It matches the Rfam family "Bacterial small subunit ribosomal RNA", at positions 28 to 246 of the family's 1533-position model. The record is from RNAcentral.
GACGAACGCUGGCGGCGUGCUUAACACAUGCAAGUCGAGCGGUAAGGCCCUUUCGGGGGGUACACGAGCGGCGAACGGGUGAGUAACACGUGGGUGACCUGCCCUCAGCUCGUGGGAUAACGCCGUACGGGGAAACCGGGUCUAAUACGUGGAUAUGACCUCCAUGACGCAUUGGUUGGUGGGGGUAGGAAACGUCCUUGUGGCGGCUGGAGGAGUCGGGCCCGCGACCUAUCAGUC